This is a non-coding RNA of Myodes glareolus (Bank vole), 2891 nucleotides long. Lineage: Eukaryota; Metazoa; Chordata; Mammalia; Rodentia; Cricetidae. The record is from RefSeq and is a predicted model, not a curated record.
UCAUGUCUCUUGCUUCCACCCUGGAGCCUGGGGUAAUUACCAUGGAAGCGAUGACCAGUGCCUGUGAUUUUUGUCAGCUCUACCUCAUGAAUGAGAGACUGCUUAUUUCAAACUUAGAGUUGUUGGAUACCUGAGGACAGGGGUGUACCUCGGUGGAAGCCCCUUUGGAAUGAAAUUUUAUCCCCAUUUGAAGGACACCGGGUCUUCCGGUGAUGGCUGUAUCUGCAGAUCUCUGAGGUGGACAGUGGCCCCGCGGAAGGAGAUAUUCCCCCCUCCUGGACCUGGGCACACUCCCAUGGGACUAACCUGAGCAAUACCCAGCAGGCAGCAGCAGCAUGGGCAACUCUUGGUGUCUAACAGUCUUGCCGCGGAGCCUUCACGUUUCCCCUUGUUUCCUUAAAAGGAACCAUCUGCGCUGUGCUACGACGGACAUGUUUUCCAGCGUGGACUUUGUUCAGGAGAUCUAGAUUUCACAUUUGCUCAAUGGUAGCGUGAGGGAGGAGCCUGUGCUGAGGACUUAAACCACUGGGGACCAGCAUCUUGGAAAGAAGCCUGAAGGUAGCAACUCAGGUAACCUGGGAGUGUUUGACAGUCACUCGGGGGAGGCACUCCAGUAGAUUUGUGCUGGUGGCUGUUUAUGGUUUUAAAACUGCAUUGGUGGCGGUGGGGACGUCUUUAGCAAACUUCCUUGUGGUGAGAACUUUGUUUUCUUGUGGUGGUGGCUUAAAGGGAGCAAUGAGGAUGUUUCUGUUGGAGAGAGAGAGAGAGAGAGAGAGAGAGAGAGAGAGAGAGACCUGGACAAAGGAAGACAUUUUCCUGGGGAUCUGAUUUUUUUCUAUAUUUUUUUUUCUAUGACCUUAAGUAGUACAAUAUUUGUAUCUGAACUGAAGAAUGAGUUUGUUAUUUGACUCUGGACAUCAAGCUCUGGUCUGUUGCCUUGGAAACUUUGAAAUGCAUGAGAGAUGAGAUUCACAAGGAAUCUUCAAAACUCUGGUAUUCAGAAACCUUUCACGCAUAAGCUGGUCUCCAUAAUUGUAUGGAUUUGGAAGUUGCUUCAUGCUUCAAUUCUACCGGAGCUCAGCUGCCCCAGCUCCUAGAGCGUGCUAAAGGCUCUAAGAGGUGGCAUUUAUGCCCGUUUUGUCUAUUCUUCCUUCUCCAUACAAACUUCUAUUCUUGCUUUCACAUUUAUUCUACAAAGCUCAGUUGGGGAACUGCUGGACAGGACGGAGCAUUGGCCCUGGGCGGGCCUGGCCAAGGGCAUGCUUCAAGUUGGAAGAGGGCAUAUAACUUACCCAAAGUUCAGGGGACUGGGUCUUCCCUUUCCUCUCCAUUCCAGAAUCUCUGAAAUGUAAAGGUUCUUGGUAGGGUUGGUAGAUAGGUGAGGGUUGAUGUGGGAAGAGCCCAGAUCUACAGUGAAUAUUCUAGAAGGUUAUCUGGCUUCUUGAGCAUCUCUAAGAGAGAGUGCGUGUGUAGGGGGAGCUGGAUCUUUCUUUGAAUGCUAACUUAGAUCUCUGUGUUAAGAAGGUUGAUCCUCUUCUACUCCAAGCUCCCGGAGCCUUUGGCCGUAGCGGCUUGCUACUCUGCUGGUGGCCGAGUGGGGCUCUAACACCCGCUGGUCCUCAGUCUCUCUUUCCACCACGGCUUAUGCACUGUGUCCGUCCUUUAUAGACAGCGGCCUUCUCUCUCCAGUUACUCUCGGGAUUCUGUUUUUUUGUCUUUACCUUUCUGAGCCCUGAUUAUGGUGUGCCCUUUGGAUGGCCCUGGCUGGCUGACAUUCUCCUCUAGUGUGCUGAGGAGACGUGGAUCUUAAGUAGGUGUGGCAUUUCCCUUUGCACCUGGCCCCAGGCUCUGGUCCCUGUGGGUCACAUCUGACUCGCUUGCUAGCCUUCUUACCCAGGGAGGGGCUCUCUUCUGCGUUGGGAAAGGCUCACUGAAGUUUACACCAGAGAUGCAAUCUGGGUUCAUGUGGGUCAGACUGGGUUACCAGUCAGUGAGCAGGAUGUGCCCGGCUCCCUGACGGUCACCACAGGUCCCUCUCAGCACUGGAGGCUGUCAAAGUUGCGCUGAUGUCGUCCAUUGCUCCACUCGGAAGGCUGUCAGCUUCAACUCAAGCCUACCUCCCUCACCACGGUAGUGAAGGCCUUCACCGGUCGUGCUUGAUCCAGCGGCUCAGAAUGACCUCCUCUCUCAUUCUUUACUCUUGUUUAACUUUCAUUUAUGUAUUCAUCAAUUAUGUAUUUGCAGUAGCAUCCCCUCUCCUUCUCAUUCCUGCUUCCCACCUGUAAUUUUCUGGAUCCUCCUGUCUUUUCCCUUCCUCUCCUAUGCCAUCUAUUGAUUUGAUCAUAUCUAUCUACAGUAUCCUGUCCAUCUGUCCAUCCCAUCCUUUCCUAGCCUGUUCCACUGACCCCAUCCCAUCCACACAUCCCACCCCCUGUUAUCCCCACCUCCACUCAGUUGCAGCUGAGGAAAGCACCCUCCUUCAAACCCUUUUCCUGUGGCUGUAGGACACCCCAUAUGGAGUGUGGGGAGAAAGGAGAACAGGUGUAUCCCACAUACCCCAUAGAAGAAAGCUUCAUAGACCAGGCUCUGAGGGUAGGGGGUUGUGGUUAGGGGGCAAGAGUGAGAUUUUGGGGACCAUAAACAGCAAGGUCAGUUUGGAGGUCAUGCCACUUGCCUCUGUCUGUCUCUGCCUGUGGAAGUGAGGAAGGUCAGCCAUCCUCUCUGACCAUGGAGGUCGCCUAGUGUCUGAGGCUCUUAGUUAUGAGUGACAGUUUGGAAGCCUAAGGAAGGCCCAGGGCUUCAUCAUAAACCACAGAGUAAAAUCAGGGGUGAUAUAGAUAUGAAUAAUUUGCAUUGGUAUAAAUCUUGAUUUAUUGAUACAAGUUUAAGGU